RNAcentral lists this transfer RNA (73 nucleotides) under Tubulinosema ratisbonensis. It matches the Rfam family "tRNA". Rfam says of the family: Transfer RNA (tRNA) molecules are approximately 80 nucleotides in length. Lineage: Eukaryota; Fungi; Microsporidia; Tubulinosematidae. The record is from Rfam by way of RNAcentral.
GCCCCGUUAGCUCAGUCGGUAGAGCAUCAGGCUUUUAACCUGAGGGUCGUGGGUUCGAGCCCCACAUGGGGCG